Lepisosteus oculatus (spotted gar) is the source of this 1616-nucleotide non-coding RNA. Lineage: Eukaryota; Metazoa; Chordata; Actinopteri; Semionotiformes; Lepisosteidae. The record is from RefSeq and is a predicted model, not a curated record.
GUACAGGUUGGUUGAGAGACUGUAGGAAUGUUUUCAAAGCGUGCGGCGAGAUUCGUGUGCUGAGACAGACUGCCAGGUUUAUGAAAGCUAAUAUUUCAUAAAGGGCUCGCUGCCAGCUCGCUGUUGAGAUGUGGGAGAGAGUGAUGUGGCGGGACCAGCCUUCAGGGGAUCCAACAGCCAUGCCGGAGUGAGGGAUCCAGAGAGAGGCACAUCGACAGGCGGAGCGCCCCCUUCUGUGCUGGGACUGCAGCACCGAACAGCUGAGGCCUGCUUUCUAAACCACCUGCGGUCUGCAACACCAAGCGGGGGAAGUGGGGGCUGUGGACCGGGGGGGGGGGCCCGUUGGCUUGGCUCUGACACCCCACAGUGAGGCAGGCAGCCUCAGCUCCCUCAAGCCUGGCACCCCGUCUUCGGGAUAGAUCGCUGGCACGGGCGCCGGAUUCGUCCGCACCAGUCUAUCCGUGCAAGCUGAAACCGUAAAGAGACACUCGGAUGCGGCCGUCCCUCUCCUCGUGUCUCCAUCUCUCUGCUUUCCCCUCGUGUGACCACAACAAAGAUGCUCGGAUCCAGAGAAAAUGGAUGUUUUAACAAAGUUUGUUUCAAACCCGGCACGUUAGCCCUCCCCUUCUGCCUUCUCAACCUGGGCCACAGCUGCACAGCCGGGAAUAUUUCUCAGCGACGGGAGAGGAGUGUGUCACCCAUGCAACGGAUCACUGUUGCAGGAUGAGACCGCCCAAGGAGAGCCCCGGCAGGGAGUCGGGGGAUGAGGCCCCGGGGCAAAGGUCUGGAGGGGGCGGCGAGGAGGGCGAGGGGGCCGACAGCGACAGCCAGCCUGAAAGCUGCCCCGCUUUGAAUGAGUGUGGCCCAGCGGAAAGCAAGAGGAGGAGGAAGAAGAAGAAGAAAAGAUGAUUGUGGAUCAACCUCACCAACUGCAAGUAUGAAAGUGGUGAGUAACAAUGGAGGAGGGUUUGGGCAAUCAGCUCCCUGUAGGUACCCAAAGUGCUUCUUGAGAUCCAUUUCCUUUGCUUUGACAUACCAGGGGGCUUACUGUAAUAGGGAGUGGUGGAUAAACAUCUCACCCUGCUCAAGGUGAGGCACGUGCAGGUCCUCGAGAUAGGACUGGGCAGGUCUGGUUUCUUUGGGUUUGAUUCUGGAGUAGCAUAUCUGUUAAUACUAGCACAGUUGUUUUAAUCGCUGAUUAAGCCACCCUGAUCUGCAAGUAAUGUAAUUAGUUGGGCAAAUAGAUAGCCCUCACAGCUCUUGUCAGGCCAGGUGUGACUCUGCCUCCGGUCAGGGGGUGUCGUUACCAGUGAACACAGCACGUUUCCAUAUGAUUAACACCUGUAUCGCCUGUGCUGGUUGGAUGCAGCCUGACAGGACAAUAGCACAAGAAUUGGGCUUUCAUCAUUAUCCCUUCAACAAUAACAUUAAACUCAAGUGUUUUCUUUUCAUUGCUGUUUACUCAAGUCUUGAUUCCUUAAGGCAGUGCCAAGAUUAAAUUGCAUUCCAGGUUCGGUAAAACCAUUUGGUUUCUCAUCCUGACUCUGCACUCCUGUUAAAUUUCUUUUGGCAGGGGCAUAUUGAUUUGGCAUUGCUCCCAAAUGGAGAGUGAAAAA